UGCAGGUGGGAGAUGAGGGGUUAACGGAAAACCUCGAAAAAAGAGUGUUUUCCAGUAAUCAAGCAGAACAACGUGGAGCCGGUGCUAACGGGUCUAGACGUGGACGGAUGGCGACACGGUCGACCCCUGGCGCUCCGACACUUGUCGAGCGACAUGAUGGCCUGCAGGUCCUUUUGUUUGGCAGCCAUCAGCUCCAACGGAGAGGCCAGGCUGUGGAGGUCAAAGGUCAAUGGGACCUUUAAAAACAAAAAAGGACCUUGUUUUCUAAAUGACCGCAAUUAAAUACCCCCUGCCUUUAAAUGUCCUGCUCCUGGUGACCUGAUGGAAAUGUGGUCUGGACUGUGAGACCAGGAAAAGGUGCCGACAAGCUUGCCCGCAUCUGUUUGUGCCUGAAGGAAAUCCCAGAGAGGCUGAAGCAGCAGGGGCAGAACCCAGAUGUAUCCAUGGUGGAGCCUAAAAACCAAAGUCGGAGUGUCUGCUGAGAGGCAAGAUGGAAAUCAGCCAAUAGGAGCAGAAAGGAAAUGCAACAUG
Molecule: long non-coding RNA, 531 nt
Organism: Gambusia affinis (western mosquitofish)
Lineage: Eukaryota; Metazoa; Chordata; Actinopteri; Cyprinodontiformes; Poeciliidae
Exons: 4
Source: RefSeq, a predicted model, not a curated record